CCUCAGCAUCACAGAACAUCCAGAAACAACAGAGAAUCUUCUGAAUGUUGUUGAUUGCAGCAGACAGUAAAACAAAUGCAGCUCAGCAGCCUUCAGACUGAAACGAGAUGCUGCAGAGGAAAACGUCUUUUCUGAAAAUGCACUGGGCUUCACAUUCACGUCUUUGUCCACAGCGAACACGGAGCAGAGAAUUUCCACCCAGUUUUUCUUUGUCACAGAAUAACAAAGAGAAUGAAAAGCAACCAUCUCCACAUAUAGAGCUCUCUGCACCAGAGCACACCGAACAACGAAUAUUAUCUUCAGAAGAGCUCUGAUCACUUCAGGAUGUUUGCUGUCCACCAACUGAAACCUAAGAAAGAGAAUCCUGGGACUCUAACAACAACAACAUCCAUCCAUUCUCUUCCACUUAUCCCUGUCAGGGUUGCUGGAGCCUAUCAGGGUACACUGUGGACAGCUCGCCAGCCUGACGCAGGGCUAACACAUACAGAAAAUCAUUCACACUCACAGUCAGCUCUAUGGGCAUUUUAGAUUCUCCAAUUAACCUAGCCCCACUAAUUGCAUGUCUUUAAACUGUGGAACGAAGCUGGACAAAGAAACCAUUAUGGCUGAGAAGACAAACAAAGAAACAGGAGGGCAACUGGAAGUACAAAGAACUUAGCAAAAACCUGAACUGGGAAAAGCUAAGAAAAGCACAUCACAAGAGGCUGGAAAACAGAGACACAGGGAAACAGGCAGAAGGACCGCAGGGGCAACGUGGAGGAUGAUCACACAGACGGACUGACAAGGAACAGAGGAAAGCACAGACUGUUGCUGUGUCCAAAUUCAGGGAAGGAUCCUUCAAGGAUUCUACCUACCUGUGUCACUUAGGAGGGUAUUUCAAUGGCAGUGUAGGCCAGAAGUGAGCGGAUGUGAAAUUAGACAGCCUUCUAAUUUUCUUUAAUCUACACGCAUUUAGGAAUGAUUGCCGGUCAUUCGUUCACAUUUACUGUAUUAUAUAAAAUAUGUAAACUAAAUCUCU
Oreochromis aureus is the source of this 1018-nucleotide long non-coding RNA. The record is from Ensembl. Lineage: Eukaryota; Metazoa; Chordata; Actinopteri; Cichliformes; Cichlidae.